Long non-coding RNA from Mesocricetus auratus (golden hamster), 1216 nucleotides. RefSeq lists it as uncharacterized. The record is from RefSeq and is a predicted model, not a curated record. Lineage: Eukaryota; Metazoa; Chordata; Mammalia; Rodentia; Cricetidae. The transcript is spliced from 2 exons.
CCCAAGUGCUGGGAUUAAAGGCGUGUGCCCCACCGCCCGGCUCCACCUUGGUAUAUCUUAAGGGUGCAUAAAACCUUGAAUUAAAAUGUCCAGGGUCAAAGGUAACCACCUUGAAUAUACUGUGAAGAGGAUCUGAGGGUUUAUAAAAACAUACAAAGACGGUUAAUUUUGACAUGCAAUUUUCUACGCAGGGUGUGUUCUGAACAGUGUCACCAUGACUGUGACCCACAUAGUGUUUCUUAACAGCAGGUGAAGUCUGGUGGAAGCCAGAUAGUUGUGGCUAGCCUGGCUCUGGAUGAAGGGAACUGACUGUGAGAAUGGUGAAGACAAGAGGCAGAUGGAGUGUCACACAUGUUGCUGAUAACACCAUCAAAAUUAAGCAGUUGCAAGAGAUGGCAAUAUAAAUGGCAACUGGACAGAUGGUUGUUCUGAAAUCUGGCAUUCAAAGGUCUGUGUGGCUGUGUACAUGAGUGCAGGUACCCAUGGAGACCAGAAAAGGACAGUUCUCUGGAGAAGGAGUUACAGGCAGUUGGGAACUGCCUGACACAGGUGUUGGGAACCAGACUUUGACAUCUAGAAGAUCAGUAUUUGUUCUUAAUAACUGAAGUGUCUCUCCAACCUCCUACUCAUUAAACCCCAACACAUAAUAGCUACUGUGCUCAGUUAUUGCAUGUUUCUGCUUACUUCUUCCUACAGUAGCCCAGUGAAUGGGGAGACACUUAUCUAUCCCAGUUACGGAUGAGAAACCUGAGAGCCAGGGUAUGUCACCAUCUCCACAGUCCUGACUGGAGAGCACAGUCUCAUGAGAAGCGUGCCUAGGGCAGUGCCUAUGCACUAGAACAGCAUCAUCAAUGCUUCUACUGUGUAGACUGGGUCAUGCUGCUGGAGAAGUGAAUCGAUCAUGCUUGUCUGCGCUUACAUCCUGCACUCUACCUGUGUAAUAAUGGCUGAGCCAACAGAUCCAGACUGAGCUCCAUAAGCGGUGGCCUGUCACUUCAAAGAUCUGAAUGACUUCCUUAACCCGGUCUAUCCAGUGAUGGGAACAGGGAACAUAUUAACUCCUGCAUGGCCUAAAAAAAGAAAUAUGUGGUUUACAUUUGUACACAAAGGUGCAAAUUUGAGUAUUUGUCCAUAAUUGUUAUCUUGUAUAAUAUGAUUGUAUAUUAUUGCAUGUUAUGUUAUUGUCUAUUAUUUUAUAAUAAACCAUUAUACACCA